RNAcentral lists this ribosomal RNA (681 nucleotides) under uncultured Gammaproteobacteria bacterium. RNAcentral's name for it is "bacterial SSU rRNA". It matches the Rfam family "Bacterial small subunit ribosomal RNA", at positions 57 to 727 of the family's 1533-position model. Lineage: Bacteria; Pseudomonadati; Pseudomonadota; Gammaproteobacteria. The record is from RNAcentral.
GCAGUCGACGGCAGCAUGCUCUAGCUUGCUAGAGUGAUGGCGAGUGGCGAACGGGUGAGUAACGCGUAGGGAUCUACCUUAGAGAGGGGGACAACCCGGGGAAACUCGGGCUAAUACCGCGUAUUCUGGAGACAGAAAAGUUGGGGACCAUUUAUGGCCUAGCGCUCUAAGAUGAACCUGCGUCCGAUUAGCUAGUUGGUGGGGUAAAGGCCUACCAAGGCGACGAUCGGUAGCUGUUCUGAGAGGAAGAUCAGCCACACUGGGACUGAGACACGGCCCAGACUCCUACGGGAGGCAGCAGUGGGGAAUAUUGGACAAUGGGGGCAACCCUGAUCCAGCAAUGCCGCGUGUGUGAAGAAGGCCUGAGGGUUGUAAAGCACUUUCAGUGGGGAGGAAGGCUCUUUUACGAAUAGUAAAAGGGAUUGACGUUACCCACAGAAGAAGCACCGGCUAACUCUGUGCCAGCAGCCGCGGUAAUACAGAGGGUGCAAGCGUUAAUCGGAAUUACUGGGCGUAAAGCGUACGUAGGUGGACAACUAAGUCGGCAGUGAAAGCCCCGGGCCUAACCUGGGAAAGCCUGCCGAGACUGGUAGUCUAGAGUACAGUAGAGGGAAGUGGAAUUUCCGGUGUAGCGGUGAAAUGCGUAGAGAUCGGAAGGAACACCAGUGGCGAAGGCGACUU